GCCAGACUCCUACGGGAGGCAGCAGUGGGGCCUCUUGCACAAUGGGGGCCCCCCUGAUGCAGCGCCGCCGCGUGCGUGCAGAAGUACUUCGUUAUGUAAAGCUCUCUCAGCAGGGACGAACAUGACGGUCCCUGAGUAAGAAGCCCCGGCUAACUACGUGCCAGCAGCAGCGGUAAUACGUAGGGGGCAAGCGUUAUCCGGAUUUACUGGGUGUAAAGGGAGCGGAGACGGCAGUGCAAGUCUGGAGUGAAAGGCGGGGGCUCAACCCCCGGACUGCUCUGGAAACUGUACGGCUGGAGUGCAGGAGAGGUAAGUGGAAUUCCUAGUGUAGCGGUGAAAUGCG
This 343-nucleotide ribosomal RNA is filed under the name uncultured bacterium. Its description in RNAcentral is "bacterial SSU rRNA". It matches the Rfam family "Bacterial small subunit ribosomal RNA", at positions 330 to 690 of the family's 1533-position model. The record is from RNAcentral.